AACGCGAAGAACCUUACCUGGGCUUGAACCGCACAGGACCAUCUUUGGAAACAGAGACUUCCCGCAAGGGACCUGUGUAGAGGUGCUGCAUGGCUGUCGUCAGCUCGUGCCGUGAGGUGUUGGGUUAAGUCCCGCAACGAGCGCAACCCUUACUCGUAGUUGCCACCCGCAAGGGGGAACUCUACGAGGACUGCUCCGGAUAACGGAGAGGAAGGUGGGGAUGAGGUCAAGUCAGCAUGGCCUUUAUGUCCAGGGCCACACACGUGCUACAAUGGGCGGUACAAAGCGCUGCCAACCCGCGAGGGGGAGCUAAUCGCCAAAAACCGUCCUCAGUUCGGAUUGCAGGCUGCAACUCGCCUGCAUGAAGCUGGAAUCGCUAGUAAUGCUAUAUCAGAACGAUAGCGUGAAUACGUUCCCGGGCCUUGUACACACCGAGACGUA
Molecule: ribosomal RNA, 441 nt
Filed under: uncultured bacterium
Lineage: Bacteria
Description: bacterial SSU rRNA
Rfam family: Bacterial small subunit ribosomal RNA
Source: RNAcentral